Molecule: small RNA, 105 nt
Filed under: Klebsiella pneumoniae
Lineage: Bacteria; Pseudomonadati; Pseudomonadota; Gammaproteobacteria; Enterobacterales; Enterobacteriaceae
Also listed under: 1 other name
Description: partial RtT sRNA
Rfam family: RtT RNA
About the family: This family represents a bacterial cis-regulatory element known as RtT RNA.
Source: RNAcentral
UAUUCUGCCCCAUGGGGAAGGAUGAGAAGCUUCGACUAAGGUUCGACUCGAGCGAAGCGAGAGAACGUUGCCGCAGGCAACGGCCCGAAGGGCGAGGCGCUUUAG